This 77-nucleotide non-coding RNA is filed under the name chicken gut metagenome. RNAcentral describes it as "pemK RNA". It matches the Rfam family "pemK RNA". The record is from RNAcentral.
AUAAUGAUACUCCCGUCUUGAACGCUUCACAGCAUUGGGCGGCUGCAUGAGAACCAUGCAGGGGUGAGAUUCCCGUG